RNAcentral lists this long non-coding RNA (2596 nucleotides) under Zea mays. RNAcentral describes it as "long non-coding RNA (ZMAY_LNC004025)". The record is from RNAcentral. Lineage: Eukaryota; Viridiplantae; Streptophyta; Magnoliopsida; Poales; Poaceae.
AAAGCCGGGUAGCACUAGCCCCUUACUCAUACAAAGGAGUCGAAGCCUGAGCAUAUGAGAGUCGUAGUAGUUCUGCGAAGAAGCUUGACGCCAUGGCCAUCCAGUUAAACUAUCCAACCAGGAAAUAUCUUGUCAAAUCUCACGUCCAGUCCUCCACUCCUCUCUCCUUUAGUCUCUAUACGCCCACGUCGUCGCCCACCUGGUCAAUAGCUUUCACGUGCGAUUACCCAAUCUCGACCUCGGCGGCUCGGCCUCGAUCGUACCGGUCAGCUUAACCCUCCCGCUCCGCUGUCGUGCGUUCUCCUGUCACCAAACUUCAGCCGGUGCAUGGGGACGUUCCCUGGAGGCCGUGGAUUGUUCGUGGGGGUGUCCCUGCCCAUCGAUCAGUAAUCAGGACGCUGGGAUUUUGUUGGCCGCGGUGGCGUUGGCUCGGCGGGCAGUGGUAGCCGUGGCCGCUGCGUCAAAGUCAAGCGAGAAGGAGAGCAGGGAGAGAAAGAGAGCUUGUUGGUGCUGAAAGCGUUUCGCGUCUGCACUGUUGUCCAGAAUGUCGUGGCUAACGCUCCAAAUCCUGGUGAGUACCUUUCCAUACGCUUCGUCCGUAUCUCCUCUACGUCUAGCACCACUUUUCAGGGAGUUUAGCGCACUCGGGCGAUGAGUUGCGUCUCACCAGUAGACCUCCGCCGUAGGGAAUGGCGGAGCCGCCGUGGCCGCGUGCGGAGGGUGGAAGAUGGCCACUAGCCGUUGAUCUGAUGAUGGGCGCCCAAUAUUAGAAGGUAGAUACCCCUUAGGUUAGGAAGAACCUGGACCCUAGAUCUCGCGAUGUACGGUAGAAAUCUGAUCGCGGGUUCAUUAAACCGAGACCGUCGGGUUCAGAUCCGGGGGCUAUGGCUGCAUACCGGUUCGCGGUCUGUUUCUGACCUUAGAUAUCAGAUCCAAUGGCCAGAUCGAGCUCGUGUUUAUGCCGCCACGAAACUUUGCAGAUGAGUCCCUAGGGUUUUGCUUUAUUAACCCGCCGUCCACCUCGGGUCAGGGUUGAGUCUGGUCGAUUUUGCGAAUUAAACCUCGAGCUUCUUAGUAAAUGACGCACAGUCCAGAUAACAGAGAAACUAGAUAAUUAAUAUUAGAAAUUGAUUUUUAGUAUAAAAAUAAAUCUUAAAACUUGUUUAAUUCAUAUUUAAUUCAUUUUAACUCCAAAUUAAUUCAUUUCAGUGGCAUUAUUUUUUUUAAUAUUGUUUAUCACUUAGUAAAUUUGUUUAGCCAUGAAACUUGAACACAUGAGCUAUGCUUUUGUAGGUACUCAAUAACUUCGGAAAUACAUAAUUUAAUAACCGUAAAACCAAAUUUAGUGAUUCUUGUACCUACAAUCUCGUAGCGACGCGUAGAUUAUUAUUACGCAGUUUAUUCUUAGGUUUGGUGUGAUGUUAAUUCUAUAUAUACAUUGUUCGUUUGUAUUGCUACGACUAGCGUGAGGUCACGAGGAUCUGAAGAUCAUCCUGGUACCUGGAAUCUCAAGUCCCAGGCAAGUUGUGCCCUUGAUCACUUCUUUUUACCUACUCAUGUUCUGAUUAAUCAUAAUGAUCUGCAUAGGUUAAUUUUGAUGGGACCCAAUAGGUUACCCUAGUUUGAUUAUCUUUAUACCUUGUUUACCACUGAACUUUUUGGGUAGUACUUGCUAGUGCUUUAUGUGGUUUUGGGUAUGAAGAUACAUUAUUCAUGAUUACACUUUUAUUAUCAGUUUAUUAUUUCUGUUCAUGAUAAGAUCAUUAUGUUAAUUGGAACAUGGAGCGACCACCCGGGAAAACAGUGCUACCACAAGGGUUUAAUGGGACGCCCUUGGCUGAUUAAUUAGGAAAGCUAGUGGAAGACUACCUUACCUGAAAGGGGCAAGGGCAGUAGGGGAGUGGUCAGUGUAGGGAGGCCCUCGGGAGGAUUUUGCUGCGAUGGCGGUCCUGCAAGGGAUUCCUGCAUUGGAGCUUCCUAUAAACUGUAGCGGGUUUUCUGAAGCUAGUGGAACUUUGUAAAGGCCUCGUAGUGUUACCCUGCCUCGCCUCCUCGGUAGAGGUGUAUGGGAAGUCGCGAUCCCUUGGCAGAUGGGUAACAUGACUUGUGGGUAAAGAUGCGCAACCUCUGCAGAGUGUAAAACUGGUAUACUAGCCGUGCUCACGGUCAAGAGCAGCUCGGACCCUCACAUGAUUAAUUAUGGAACUUAAAUUCAAUUUGUCAUAUGCAUUGCAUUGCAGGUGAUGUUGUUACUUUGUUCUACUACUUAAUUGGGUUGGUAUUUACUUAUACUUAGUAACUGCUAAUAAAAUUUUGACCAACUUUAAAAGCAAUGCUCAGCUCUAACCAUCCUCUUUGGUAAGCCUUACACUUCACAUGAACUCCCACCUUUGGCGAGUUCAUUCACAUUAUUCCCCACAACUUGUUGAGCGAUGAACGUAUGUGAGCUCACUCUUGCUGUCUCACACCCCCCCACAGGUCAAGAACAGGUACCGCAUGAUGAUGGGCGUGGAGGAUGCUGUGGCGAGUUCGUGAGAGAUCUAGGCCGUCGUCUCCCAGUCAACUUUGGGUUGCUGGACCGUUGUCUCCUUAUAAU